This 253-nucleotide ribosomal RNA is filed under the name uncultured bacterium. RNAcentral's name for it is "partial 16S ribosomal RNA". It matches the Rfam family "Bacterial small subunit ribosomal RNA", at positions 524 to 776 of the family's 1533-position model. The record is from RNAcentral.
UACGGAGGGUGCAAGCGUUAUCCGGAUUCACUGGGUUUAAAGGGAGCGCAGGCGGACUUGUAAGUCAGUGGUGAAAUACCUGAGCUUAACUCGGGAACUGCCAUUGAUACUAUAGGUCUUGAAUGUUGUUGAGGUUUGCGGAAUGGGUCAUGUAGCGGUGAAAUGCAUAGAUAUGACCCGGAACACCUAUUGCGGAGGCAGCAGGCUAAACAAAUAUUGACGCUGAGGCUCGAAAGCGUGGGGAUCAAACAGG